GACGAACGCUGGCGGCGUGCUUAACACAUGCAAGUCGAACGGAAAGGCCCUGCUUUUGUGGGGUGCUCGAGUGGCGAACGGGUGAGUAACACGUGAGUAACCUGCCCUUGACUUUGGGAUAACUUCAGGAAACUGGGGCUAAUACCGGAUAGGAGCUCCUGCUGCAUGGUGGGGGUUGGAAAGUUUCGGCGGUUGGGGAUGGACUCGCGGCUUAUCAGCUUGUUGGUGGGGUAGUGGCUUACCAAGGCUUUGAUGGGUAGCCGGCCUGAGAGGGUGACCGGCCACAUGGGGACUGAGAUACGGCCCAGACUCCUACGGGAGGCAGCAGUGGGGAAUAUUGCACAAUGGGCGGAAGCCUGAUGCAGCAACGCCGCGUGCGGGAUGACGGCCUUCGGGUUGUAAACCGCUUUCGCCUGUGACGAAGCGUGAGUGACGGUAAUGGGUAAAGAAGCACCGGCUAACUACGUG
RNAcentral lists this ribosomal RNA (468 nucleotides) under uncultured bacterium. Its description in RNAcentral is "partial 16S ribosomal RNA". It matches the Rfam family "Bacterial small subunit ribosomal RNA", at positions 28 to 507 of the family's 1533-position model. The record is from RNAcentral.